RNAcentral lists this ribosomal RNA (497 nucleotides) under uncultured bacterium. Its description in RNAcentral is "partial 16S ribosomal RNA". It matches the Rfam family "Bacterial small subunit ribosomal RNA", at positions 28 to 507 of the family's 1533-position model. The record is from RNAcentral.
GAUGAACGCUGGCGGCGUGCCUAAUACAUGCAAAUCGAGCGAACGGACGAGAAGCUUGCUUCUCUGAUGUUAGCGGCGGACGGGUGAGUAACACGUGGAUAACCUACCUAUAAGACUGGGAUAACUUCGGGAAACCGGAGCUAAUACCGGAUAAUAUUUUGAACCGCAUGGUUCAAAAGUGAAAGACGGUCUUGCUGUCACUUAUAGAUGGAUCCGCGCUGCAUUAGCUAGUUGGUAAGGUAACGGCUUACCAAGGCAACGAUGCAUAGCCGACCUGAGAGGGUGAUCAGCCACACUGGAACUGAGACACGGUCCAGACUCCUACGGGAGGCAGCAGUAGGGAAUCUUCCGCAAUGGGCGAAAGCCUGACGGAGCAACGCCGCGUGAGUGAUGAAGGUCUUCGGAUCGUAAAACUCUGUUAUUAGGGAAGAACAUAUGUGUAAGUAACUGUGCACAUCUUGACGGUACCUAAUCAGAAAGCCACGGCUAACUACGUG